This 72-nucleotide transfer RNA is filed under the name Phrynosoma platyrhinos (Desert horned lizard). RNAcentral describes it as "tRNA-OTHER". Lineage: Eukaryota; Metazoa; Chordata; Lepidosauria; Squamata; Phrynosomatidae. The record is from RNAcentral.
CUCUUUCUGGUGUAGUGGUUUGAGUGUUGGACUAUGACUCUGGAGACCAGGGUUUGAUUCCCUGCUCGGUCA